This 786-nucleotide ribosomal RNA is filed under the name bacterium enrichment culture clone 6(2009). RNAcentral's name for it is "bacterial SSU rRNA". It matches the Rfam family "Bacterial small subunit ribosomal RNA", at positions 10 to 797 of the family's 1533-position model. The record is from RNAcentral.
UGUUUGAUCCUGGCUCAGGAUGAACGCUAGCGGCAGGCUUAACACAUGCAAGUCGAGGGGUAUAGUUUUUCGGAACUAGAGACCGGCGCACGGGUGCGUAACGCGUAUGCAAUCUACCUUUUGCAGAGGGAUAGCCCAGAGAAAUUUGGAUUAAUACCUCAUAGUAUAGCGACAUCGCAUGAUGAUGCUAUUAAAGUCACAACGGCAAAAGAUGAGCAUGCGUCCCAUUAGCUAGUUGGUAAGGUAACGGCUUACCAAGGCAACGAUGGGUAGGGGUCCUGAGAGGGAGAUCCCCCACACUGGUACUGAGACACGGACCAGACUCCUACGGGAGGCAGCAGUGAGGAAUAUUGGACAAUGGGCGCAAGCCUGAUCCAGCCAUGCCGCGUGCAGGAUGACGGUCCUAUGGAUUGUAAACUGCUUUUGUACGAGAAGAAACACUACUUCGUGAAGUAGCUUGACGGUAUCGUAAGAAUAAGGAUCGGCUAACUCCGUGCCAGCAGCCGCGGUAAUACGGAGGAUCCAAGCGUUAUCCGGAAUCAUUGGGUUUAAAGGGUCCGUAGGCGGUUUAGUAAGUCAGUGGUGAAAGCCCAUCGCUCAACGGUGGAACGGCCAUUGAUACUGCUAGACUUGAAUUAUUAGGAAGUAACUAGAAUAUGUAGUGUAGCGGUGAAAUGCUUAGAGAUUACAUGGAAUACCAAUUGCGAAGGCAGGUUACUACUAAUUGAUUGACGCUGAUGGACGAAAGCGUGGGUAGCGAACAGGAUUAGAUACCCUGGUAGUCCA